GUCAGAGGUGAAAUUCUUGGAUUUUUGGAAGACAUACCGCUGCGAAAGCGUUUGGCAAGGAUAUACCCAUUGAUCAAGGACGAAAGUUAGGGGAUCGAAGACGAUUAGAUACCGUCGUAGUCUUAACCAUAAACGAUGCCAUCUAAGAGAUGGUGUAUUGAAUGAUAGAAUCGUACAUCCUUUUUUUCCGGGAAACCAAAGCUUUUGGGUUCUGGGGGGAGUAUGGUCGCAAGUCUGAAACUUAAAGGAAUUGACGGAAGGGCACCACCAGGAGUGGACUGCGGCUUAAUUUGACUCAACACGGGGCAACUUACCAGGUCCGGACAUUUUUAUGAUUGACAGAUUGAUAGCUCUUUCAUGAUUGAAUGGGUGGUGGUGCAUGGCCGUUCUUAGUUGGUGGAGUGAUUUGUCUGGUUAAUUCCGUUAACGAACGAGACCUUUUCCUGCUAACUAGCUUUAUUUAUUUUCUUUGGAAGGGAAUGGAUAAACUUCUUAGAGGUACUAUUCGUUUUUCACGGAUGGAAGUUGUAGGCAAUAACAGGUCUGUGAUGCCCUUUGAUGUCCUGGGCUGCACGCGGGCUACACUGAUGCAUUCAAAGCGUUUUUUUUCCUUAAUUUKGGGAGGGUCCUUUGGGUUA
Molecule: ribosomal RNA, 638 nt
Filed under: Galdieria sulphuraria
Lineage: Eukaryota; Rhodophyta; Bangiophyceae; Galdieriales; Galdieriaceae
Description: bacterial SSU rRNA
Rfam family: Eukaryotic small subunit ribosomal RNA
Source: RNAcentral